CAAUAGCGUAUAUUAAAGUUGUUGCGGUUAAAAAGCUCGUAGUUGGAUUUCUGCUGAGAACGACCGGUCCGCCCUCUGGGUGUGUAUCUGGCUCUUUCUUGGCAUCUUCUUGGUGAACGUUGCUGCACUUGACUGUGUGGAGCGCUACCCAGGACUUUUACUUUGAGGAAAUUAGAGUGUUUCAAGCAGGCAUACGCCUUGAAUACAUUAGCAUGGAAUAAUAAGAUAGGACCUCGGUUCUAUUUUGUUGGUUUCUAGAGCUGAGGUAAUGAUUAAUAGGGAUAGUUGGGGGCAUUCGUAUUUAACUUUCAGAGGUGAAAUUCUUGGAUUUGUUAAAGACGGACUACUGCGAAAGCAUUUGCCAAGGAUGUUUUCAUUGA
RNAcentral lists this ribosomal RNA (380 nucleotides) under uncultured eukaryote. RNAcentral's name for it is "partial 18S ribosomal RNA". It matches the Rfam family "Eukaryotic small subunit ribosomal RNA", at positions 592 to 976 of the family's 1831-position model. The record is from RNAcentral.